RNAcentral lists this ribosomal RNA (515 nucleotides) under uncultured bacterium. Its description in RNAcentral is "partial 16S ribosomal RNA". It matches the Rfam family "Bacterial small subunit ribosomal RNA", at positions 28 to 523 of the family's 1533-position model. The record is from RNAcentral.
GACGAACGCUGGCGGCGUGCCUAGUACAUGCAAGUCGAACGCUUCCUACCGGUGCUUGCACCGGGAAAGAAGAGUGGCGGACGGGUGAGUAGCACGUGGGUAACCUACCUACAAGCGGGGGAUAACAUUCGGAAACGGAUGCUAAUACCGCAUAGAUCUUUUUGUCUCCUGGCAGAAAGAAGAAAGACGGUUUCGGCUGUCACUUGUAGAUGGACCCGCGGCGCAUUAGUUAGUUGGUGAGGUAAUGGCUCACCAAGACGAUGAUGCGUAGCCGACCUGAGAGGGUGAUCGGCCACACUGGGACUGAGACACGGCCCAGACUCCUACGGGAGGCAGCAGUAGGGAAUCUUCCGCAAUGGACGAAAGUCUGACGGAGCAACGCCGCGUGAGUGAAGAAGGUUUUCGGAUCGUAAAACUCUGUUGUUAGAGAAGAACAAGGAUGAGAGUAACUGCUCGCCCCUUGACGGUAUCUAACCAGAAAGCCAUGGCUAACUACGUGCCAGCCGCCGCCGCAG